ACUUGCAUGCCAUGCCAGUGUCUCCACACUCUUUCGUUAAGAGGACAACCAACGUACAUGACACACAAUGACCUAUACUUGAUAUAGCUAUCAUCUUAAUAAUAGUAUAUUAUUUGAUCGUGAACUAAAGGUUUAAAGACUAAACGAUAUAUCCUCCUAUAUCGAAUCAAAUAGUCUUAAGGACUUCAUCACAUAACAGGAG
RNAcentral lists this long non-coding RNA (202 nucleotides) under Elaeis guineensis (African oil palm). RNAcentral describes it as "long non-coding RNA (EGUI_LNC066249)". The record is from RNAcentral. Lineage: Eukaryota; Viridiplantae; Streptophyta; Magnoliopsida; Arecales; Arecaceae.